AUUGAACGCUGGCGGCAGGCCUAACACAUGCAAGUCGCGCGGAGCGGCGGACGGGUGAGUAAUGACUAGGAAUCUGCCUGGUAGUGGGGGAUAACGUCCGGAAACGGGCGCUAAUACCGCAUACUAUCAGAUGAGCCUAGGUCGGAUUAGCUAGUUGGUGGGGUACAGGCCUACCAGGGCGACGAUCCGUAACUGGUCUGAGAGGAUGAUCUGUCACACUGGACCUGUGACACGGUCAAGACGCCGACGAGAGGCAGCAGGGGGGAAUAGUGGACAAGGAGCGAAAGCCUGAUCCAGCCAUGCCGCGUGUGUGAAGAAGGUCUUCGGAUUGUAAAGCACUUUAAGUUGGGAGGCGUUACCCGCAGAAGAAGCACCGGCUAACUCCGUGCCAGCAGCCGCGGUAAUAC
This 407-nucleotide ribosomal RNA is filed under the name uncultured bacterium. Its description in RNAcentral is "partial 16S ribosomal RNA". It matches the Rfam family "Bacterial small subunit ribosomal RNA", at positions 30 to 526 of the family's 1533-position model. The record is from RNAcentral.